AGCCAGAGGAAACUCUGGUGGAAGC
This 25-nucleotide small nuclear RNA is filed under the name Arabidopsis thaliana (thale cress). RNAcentral describes it as "snRNA_05098". The record is from RNAcentral. Lineage: Eukaryota; Viridiplantae; Streptophyta; Magnoliopsida; Brassicales; Brassicaceae.